This 390-nucleotide ribosomal RNA is filed under the name uncultured Mycobacterium sp. Its description in RNAcentral is "bacterial SSU rRNA". It matches the Rfam family "Bacterial small subunit ribosomal RNA", at positions 524 to 910 of the family's 1533-position model. The record is from RNAcentral. Lineage: Bacteria; Bacillati; Actinomycetota; Actinomycetes; Mycobacteriales; Mycobacteriaceae.
UACGUAGGGUGCGAGCGUUGUCCGGAAUUACUGGGCGUAAAGAGCUCGUAGGUGGUUUGUCGCGUUGUUCGUGAAGUCUCACGGCUUAACUGUGAGCGUGCGGGCGAUACGGGCAGACUAGAGUACUGCAGGGGAGACUGGAAUUCCUGGUGUAGCGGUGGAAUGCGCAGAUAUCAGGAGGAACACCGGUGGCGAAGGCGGGUCUCUGGGCAGUAACUGACGCUGAGGAGCGAAAGCGUGGGGAGCGAACAGGAUUAGAUACCCUGGUAGUCCACGCCGUAAACGGUGGGUACUAGGUGUGGGUUUCCUUCCCUUGGGAUCCGUGCCGUAGCUAACGCAUUAAGUACCCCGCCUGGGGAGUACGGCCGCAAGGCUAAAACUCAAAGGAAU